Molecule: ribosomal RNA, 228 nt
Filed under: uncultured crenarchaeote
Lineage: Archaea; Thermoproteati; Thermoproteota
Description: partial 16S ribosomal RNA
Rfam family: Archaeal small subunit ribosomal RNA
Source: RNAcentral
ACGGUGAGGGAUGAAAGCUGGGGGAGCGAACCGGAUUAGAUACCCGGGUAGUCCCAGCUGUAAACGAUGCGAGCUAGGUGACACGAGGCCUUCGGGGCCUUGUGGUGCCGCAGGGAAGCCGUUAAGCUCGCCGCCUGGGGAGUACGGACGCAAGUCUGAAACUUAAAGGAAUUGGCGGGGGAGCACCACAAGGGGUGAAGCCUGCGGUUCAAUUGGAGUCAACGCCGA